Molecule: ribosomal RNA, 239 nt
Filed under: uncultured bacterium
Lineage: Bacteria
Description: partial 16S ribosomal RNA
Rfam family: Bacterial small subunit ribosomal RNA
Source: RNAcentral
CCGGCACGGGUGAGUAACACGUAUCCAACCUGCCGUCUACUCUUGGCCAGCCUUCUGAAAGGAAGAUUAAUCCAGGAUGGCAUCAUGAGUUCACAUGUCCGCAUGAUUAAAGGUAUUUUCCGGUAGACGAUGGGGAUGCGUUCCAUUAGAUAGUAGGCGGGGUAACGGCCCACCUAGUCAACGAUGGAUGGGGGUUCUGAGAGGAAGGUCCCCCACAUUGGAACUGAGACACGGUCCAA